RNAcentral lists this ribosomal RNA (899 nucleotides) under uncultured bacterium. Its description in RNAcentral is "bacterial SSU rRNA". It matches the Rfam family "Bacterial small subunit ribosomal RNA", at positions 1 to 866 of the family's 1533-position model. The record is from RNAcentral.
CGACUCAUUAAGGGCGAUUGAUACCGCCGUAAAACGCAUGCAUUCUGACCUGGAUCUGUCUGGAUGAACAAUGCGCAUGCUAACACAUGCCGUCGAGCGAGAAUCACAGGACGGAAUCCUUCGGGAUGAAGACUUGUGAGGAGAGCGGCGGACGGGUGAGUAACGCGUGAGUAACCUGCCCUUGAGAGGAGGAUAACACACCGAAAGGUGUGCUAAUACUGCAUAACAUACAUUAGCCGCAUGACUGAUGUAUCAAAGAUUUAUCGCUCAAGGAUGGACUCGCGUCCGAUUAGAUAGUUGGCGGGGUAACGGCCCACCAAGUCGACGAUCGGUAGCCGAACUGAGAGGUUGAUCGGCCACAUUGGGACUGAGACACGGCCCAGACUCCUACGGGAGGCAGCAGUGGGGAAUAUUGCGCAAUGGGGGAAACCCUGACGCAGCAACGCCGCGUGAAGGAUGAAGGUCUUCGGAUUGUAAACUUUUGUCUUAUGGGACGAAAAAGGACGGUACCAUAGGAGGAAGCCACGGCUAACUACGUGCCAGCAGCCGCGGUAAUACGUAGGUGGCAAGCGUUAUCCGGAUUUACUGGGUGUAAAGGGCGUGUAGGCGGGACGGCAAGUCAGAUGUGAAAUACCGAGGCUUAACUUCGGGGCUGCAUUUGAAACUACCGUUCUUGAGUGUCGGAGAGGAAAGCGGAAUUCCCAGUGUAGCGGUGAAAUGCGUAGAUAUUGGGAGGAACACCAGUGGCGAAGGCGGCUUUCUGGACGAUAACUGACGCUGAGGCGCGAAAGCGUGGGUAGCAAACAGGAUUAGAUACCCUGGUAGUCCACGCCGUAAACGAUGAGUACUAGGUGUAGGAGGUAUCGACCCCUUCUGUGCCGCAGUUAACACAAUAAGUA